AUUGAACGCUGGCGGCAGGCCUAACACAUGCAAGUCGAACGAGUGGCGGACGGGUGAGUAAUGUCUGGGAAACUGCCCGAUGGAGGGGGAUAACUACUGGAAACGGUAGCUAAUACCGCAUACCAUCGGAUGUGCCCAGAUGGGAUGAGCUAGUAGGUGGGGUAACGGCUCACCUAGGCGACGAGCCCUAGCUGGUGUGAGAGGAUGACCAGCCACACUGGGACUAAGACACGGUCCGGAUUCCAACGGGAGGCAGCAAUGGGGAAUAUUGCGCAAUAGGGGAAAGCCUGAUGCAGCCAUGCCGCGUGUAUAAAGAAGGCCUUCAGGUUGUAAAGUACUUUCAGCGAGGAGACGUUACCCGCAGAAGAAGCACCGGCUAACUCCGUGCCAGCCGCCGCGGUAAUUC
Molecule: ribosomal RNA, 406 nt
Filed under: uncultured bacterium
Lineage: Bacteria
Description: partial 16S ribosomal RNA
Rfam family: Bacterial small subunit ribosomal RNA
Source: RNAcentral